GUGCUCACUUUGGCAACACAUACUAAAAUUAGAACAGUGCAGAGAUUAGCCUGGCCUCUGUGCAAGGAUGACACGUACAUUUGUGAACCAUAGUUUUUU
This 99-nucleotide small nuclear RNA is filed under the name Moschus moschiferus (Siberian musk deer). The record is from RNAcentral. Lineage: Eukaryota; Metazoa; Chordata; Mammalia; Artiodactyla; Moschidae.